UACGUGAGGGGCGAACGUUGUUCGGUGUCACUGGGCUUAAAGGGCGCGUAGGUGGCUGUGCAAGUAAGGUGUGAAAGCCCUCGGCUUACCCGGGGAAUUGCGCCUUAAACUGCAUGGCUUGAGGGUCUCAGGGGAUAGGGGAACUCCAGGUGUAGCGGUGAGAUGCGCAGAUAUCUGGGGGAAGGCCGGCGGCGAAGGCGCCUAUCUGGGAGAUACCUGACACUGAGGCGCGAAAGCGUGGGGAGCAAACAGG
RNAcentral lists this ribosomal RNA (253 nucleotides) under uncultured bacterium. RNAcentral describes it as "partial 16S ribosomal RNA". It matches the Rfam family "Bacterial small subunit ribosomal RNA", at positions 524 to 776 of the family's 1533-position model. The record is from RNAcentral.